This is a long non-coding RNA of Calidris pugnax (ruff), 2953 nucleotides long. RefSeq lists it as uncharacterized. NCBI's taxonomy places the organism in Eukaryota, Metazoa, Chordata, Aves, Charadriiformes, Scolopacidae. The record is from RefSeq and is a predicted model, not a curated record. The transcript is spliced from 3 exons.
AAAAAAAAAAAACAACCUAAUUCCCCAAGUCUCUGAAGUGGUUAUAUGCUUGCUUCUGAGAGGCCCAGAAGAGUGGAGCCAGUAGAUAUCUUUGUGAGUUGACCAUUAAGUGCCCACUGUUCACAUAGUUUACAACGUCACGUGUGUUUUUUUAAGAAAUAGCUGUAGAGUCUUGCACUUUCAGGUUGACCUGGAAGGGUGGAGGGGGGAAAUUGCUGGGGCUCCUCCGGAGCGUGCUAAAAUCCACCCGGCAUCCCCAGGGAGGUACUUCCAAAUAUCGGUGACUGCUCUCAGGGACAUCUUUGCAUGCUGGAGGAAAUGCUCGAGGGGAAAAAGGUCUCUCAGACAGUAAUACUGUCUGUGUUUUUAUGAGGGGAAGGUUAAUGUGCCUGCUGGGAACUUAACGUUAAUUGAAUUCGUGAUUAAAACCGGCCAGGACUCAUUACUUUUUGCCUGGUGAGUUUGCUGUUGGAAUACUUAAGUUAUCUUAAAUAGUUUUGACCCGAGUCAUACUGGAGCAAGUGAGGGGAAACCCUGAAAUCUGAAUAUCCAGGUCUUGUCCUAAAUAGGCUUCCUGGGCUGCCCUGCCUGGGAGGAGCCCAAAGGGGCUGUAAUUCCCCAUGGGUGCAGCUUGGCCAGUUCCAGCAGCCAUGAAUUCAGGAGGGCAGAGGGGGCACGGCUCUCCUGAUGCCACAGCAGCUCCGGAGGGACUUCUCUUCUGUAAACUCACCCCUACCCAGGCCGUCUUGCAAAUCCUUGUCACCAGAGCAGCUUGUCAGUGGAGGUUUGUUGCCACCACACGGAGGCACUGGUGGCCCUGUGCAGUCAGGGGCACCUGCGGGGAAUAUACACGAAGCCCAGUUUUACUGAGUGUGAUAAAAACCAAGCUGUAAAUGUUCCCUUGCUCAGUGUUCCACAUAGCCUUCUCUCUCUUUCUAGUGUUUAGCUGGGAGAACACCUUUUUUUUCCCCCUUGAGGUCAGUGUAGCAAGUGCUUUGCUGGCUCUCCAUCAUUUCAUUGCCAUCUUCCCUAACUGCUCCUUUCUAUCCCUCCGUAACUUAAGCUCUACGAAACCAGUAUCUCAAGGAUGCGUUUCUAUUUGUCCCAGUGAAAUGCAUCUGUGUGCGUGUAGCUCCCAGCUCUCCCUGUACGUGGCCUGGAUUUGAGAGCACUUCCUACUGGUUUUCCAGCUUUAACCAAGGUUAACAACUUCUGGUACCCCCAUGGAAGGGCAGCGGUGUCAGGGAGAUUCAUUAAACAGCAGUGUAGCAGCACUAAGGGGAAACUAAGAUGAUGUUUGACGAGGGUCACUCUACCUUUCUGUAGGUUUUUCUUGGUCUGCAGCCCACAAGCACCUUUCACUUGAGCGUGUCUCAGACCACCUCUCUUCUGCUGGGCCACAGCAGCACUGAAAGGCACCCAUCUCUGAGGAGGUGCCAGCGGGGCCACCACCCACAUGGGACCAGCAGGGAGGCUGCUGAGGCCUUUGCUUACACCAGCUUCUUCAGAAAGUACUUUGGGGUGGCUAAAGUCUGCCUGCCAGAGAUGGGACAUCCAGCCAAGGCAUUAGGAUUCGUGUAGUUUUUGGAAAGAGGACGGUCUGAAUUAUCCCAGCCAGAGCUUAUUCCCCUAACAUUGCAAAGAUGCUAACAGUAGGUCCUAAAUUAAAUGAAACCAAAGAUGAGAUUACUAGUAGGUAAUAUCUACUAGCAGGUAUCUAGAUAAGCAGAAAGAAAACUAACACAUGGGGAAGCUAAUGGGAUUUCCCUCCCAUGGUAUCACUUGAGAGUUAGAGUUGUUAGGUGCCCUAACCCAUUAAGACGUCUUAUUUCUUGUAUGUUCCAUCUUAAUAUCCUUUUCAAACAUUAAUUUUCUGGGUUUGUAGUGACAGCUUUUUGGAGUGAUUUAUAUUAACACUGAAGUCUUCUACCUCAGAUGAGUGUUGCUUUCUCCACCAUAACCCUAUACUCGCGUAGAUUUCUAUCCCAGAACUUAAUUUUAAAGUAUUAAGGACUGUAUGACGUGAACAUCAGAGGUUGACAUCUGUAAAAAAAGUCCCCAACAUCCCUGCUUUUACUUGUAUGAAGAUGUGUAAAAGACCUCUUUUUCUAACAUAUGGCACUAGAGUAACAGUUUUGGCAUUUGACUUGGCGCUGCUAUAAUUCAAAUCAAGGCUUACGCUGAGUUUUCACCACCGGUCUGGUCCUCCAUGGCCUUCUGAUCCCUUCAGGGCUGUUUUGCACGCUUAUAUGUAGGUGUCCACUGCCUGGGCUGUGGAUUUCUCCUCUGCCCGCAGUCCCACUGAGGUUUCUCAAUGGGCUGAGGCCACGAGUUGUUCCUUGGAAGCACCAGAAACCGGGUGCAGGCUCCUGCCGGCAGCAGCGACAGCCCAGCCCGGCCGGGAAAAGCAAGUGGGUGGCCUCAUCCCUUUUGAGAACAAUAGGAAACAACAACCAUUUCUGGGUAAAACAAGAGCUUGUUGUGAGAAGCAAAUGCUGGAUGUGCAGUCCCCCUGCUGCUGCAGAAAAGCAAGUGGCAGGAAUUCCCUCUGACUCUACUUGAAAUUAACCCUUCCUUGAAAAGAAACCCAGUUUGGUGUAGCCUCUGCGUGACGUCCUGACGGUUUUAACCAAAAGGGUGGUGUGAAACGUGCCGUUGCGUGUUGUGCCAGGCAGGUGUCGGGCCUCCGGAUUUCCUCGAGAGCCCAUUUUUGAGCUGUGUCAUCUUAGGAGCUAGUUUUUCAGUUUGGUUGUGAGCUCUCAUGCGUGGCAGGUGAUGUGAGGCCGUGCCGAAAUUCUCACCCGUCAGUCAGGGCAUCAGCCGAGGUGCGAAGUUCUCGGUUGAACUGUAAAGCUGAGAAGGCUCCUUCACACUAGUGUCGCUUGGUGUUGUGUGUUGUUUUGGUUUUUUUUUUUCUUAAGCUUGAAAAUUGCCUCUUAAAAACAAAAACGGC